Long non-coding RNA from Cyprinus carpio (common carp), 1044 nucleotides. NCBI's taxonomy places the organism in Eukaryota, Metazoa, Chordata, Actinopteri, Cypriniformes, Cyprinidae. The record is from Ensembl.
GUUUCAUUAUGCUGCUGCUGCGCCAUCAUCAGCCAGCCGCUCGGAGCAGUGAAUAAUAUCCUGCUGCAAACGCUAUUUACUCGCCGUUUCCCGAUAGCCUGCAAUUAUCUAUACCAUCACGGAUAUCUUUGUGAUUGGCUUGUGUACCAUGGAAAACAUCAAGACAGGACUGUAGGCUGUUAUCUGGAAAUAUCAUGUUGGCAUAUUCUGGUGGAAACCACUUCCAGGAAAUUCAGUCACAUUCUCCAUAACCACAAAAGCCAUUUGUAUCUCGCAUGUAACAUUUUGUUAUUAACUAAUUAUUUUGAAAUAUCUGAAUUUUAUUUUCUGGUAUUAAUCACUUAACCCAAUGCUUCUUGAGCCAGCUGGUCUUAACAUCAGCCUGCUGAACCCUGGAAAGGUAACCGUGGAAACACAGACGAACGUUUAGAACAUUGCUGUUCUGACUGGGAUGCACCUUUAAGCUGGAGGGUUUGUAGAGGUGAAAAUAUCUUGUUUAUUUCUAGAAAGUAUCAUGUCAUCCUGUUUUGUUUAGAUUUGAACUGAGAGCAAGCAUAUGGGGCUCAUCUUAUAGAGACGUACUUAUGCCAUCAGACAUCGCCUUAACUGCCCUGCCUGCAUUUCAGAUGUGUUCUAGAGUAUGAAAAAAAGUGAAAGUGACGGGACAUACAGCCAAGUAUGGUGACCCAUACUCAGAAUUCGUGCUCUGCAUUUAACCCACCCAAAGCAGUGAACACACACACUGUUUGAGAGAAAGGACCACAGGUGCUUAGGAGGUUAUAGUUCUCGCCUUGGAGCGUCUGUCAGAACGCAGGACAGGAGGCAGGAAUCAGUUUGAACAGUUUACUGAACUUUCUUCAGCAGCACAGACAUCCAUUAGACAGCAACGUUGCCACACUUUACAAUGUAGGUACAAAGUUGGAUACAGCCGUUGGCACUCAGCUUAGGUUUAUGGAGAUGGUAGAUUUAAAUCAUAAUCAUAAGCAUGUUGGUUGUGUGUGUGGCUGCAAAUAAACAAAACAGUAAUCAAUAUUACUUAAAGCA